UUCCGGUUGAUCCUGCCAGAGGUCACCGCUAUUGGAUUUCGCUUAAGCCAUGCGAGUCGAGAGGGUUCGGCCCUCGGCGUACGGCUCAGUAACACGUGGAUAAUCUGCCCUAAGGUGGAGCAUAAUCUCGGGAAACUGAGGAUAGUACUCCAUAGGUCUGGGAUGUUGGAAUACUCCCAAACUCAAAACUCCGGUGCCUUAGGAUGAGUCUGCGGCCUAUCAGGUAGUAGUGAGUGUAACGGACUCACUAGCCGACGACGGGUACGGGUCUUGGGAGAGAUUGCCCGGAGAUGGAUUCUGAGACACGAAUCCAGGCCCUACGGGGCGCAGCAGGCGCGAAAACUUCGCAAUGUGGGAAACCACGACGAGGGAAAUCCAAGUGACUAUGCAUAGCAUAGCCUGUUUUCUUGUCUAAAAAACAAGGAGAGUAAGGGCUGGGUAAGACAGGUGUCAGCCGCCGCGGUAAUACCUGCAGCCCGAGUGGUGAUCGUUAUUAUUGAGCCUAAAGCGUCCGUAGCCGGUCCGGUAAAUCCUUGGGUAAAUCGAUGGGCUUAACCUAUCGAAUGCUGAGGAGACUGCCGGGCUUGGGACUGGGAGAGGUCGGAGGUACUCCUGGGGUAGGGGUGAAAUCCUGUAAUCCUGGGGGGACCACCAGUGGCGAAGGCGUCCGACUUGAACGGGUCCGACGGUAAGGGACGAAGCCGUGGGGCACAAACCGGAUUAGAUACCCGGGUAGUCCACGGUGUAAACGCUGCGGGCUUGGUGUUGGAGGUCCUACGAGGGUGUCCAGUGGCGGAGAGAAGUUUGUUUAGCCCGGCGCUUGGGGAGUACGGUCGCAGAUUGAAACUUAAAGGAAUUGGGCGGGGGAGCACCGCACCGGAGGAGC
RNAcentral lists this ribosomal RNA (886 nucleotides) under uncultured Thermoplasmata archaeon. RNAcentral describes it as "bacterial SSU rRNA". It matches the Rfam family "Archaeal small subunit ribosomal RNA", at positions 1 to 894 of the family's 1478-position model. The record is from RNAcentral. Lineage: Archaea; Methanobacteriati; Thermoplasmatota; Thermoplasmata.